CAAAUGAUUACUAAUGUUCAUAUGUUAACUACAAAAAAAUCAACUUUUUGAAAUUUCAAACAAUAGAAGCAAUAAGUAUAACUGGAGAUGUCGAUACAAAUGUGUGUAUAACGUUAAAUACGAUUAAAUCAGAAACGAUAAUCGAAUACGUGUGUUCUCAAAAAUUUUGAUUGCCAAUUUUUUCUGUUGUAAAUCGCGCAUGGUAAAGAUUUCCACGCCAAUUAAAAGAAGAAUCCAGUUCUAUAACACUAAAUUUUCCAAGAGGUACAGGCCCAGUCCAUUGAAACCAAUUUAUAAGGAAAAUUUUAUAGAAUUUUACUUUUCAUUUUGCAAUGAAAUACAAAAAGUAAUGGAGAAGUCAUAUUUAAGAAUAUCACAACGGGGAAAGUUUUUUACGAGUGAGGUAGCCUGGAGAUUCAGAUACGAAUUCCCCUGAAUCGGAUGUUGAUUCACUCAAUAGCUAGUAAUGAAUUCUGUGACGAUUCCAGACCUCUGGAAAAGAUAUCUUAACAGCAUUUAUUGACUUUUUCGAGUGUGUCAACAAUUACGCCCCAUUCUCACCACAUAUACCGACGGCCAUAUCUAAAAAGAUGCGGUAUACAGACUUCUCAGUACGAGGAAAACUGCAGAUUGCAAGGUUGUGCACUUGCAUCUCAGAAAAUAUCCGGAAGUAGCGAAUUACAGAAGGUAUCUGCAUCAGGGAUGCGGCUCUAUUUUAAACCCUAAAACGCUACGUUGUACAACUAGAAAAUAAUUAUAUUUUGGUGGAGACGAAUAUAUUCAAUUAUCCCUAUACAGGCGGCCCUCGACUUUCGCACAAUUCGCUAUUUCGCACAUUUUUACAAAUUCAACUUUUUAAAUAUUUUUGUUGAUAAUGAAAAAAUUUGCUUCUAUGCAGAAUGUUCAUACACUACAAAGUGCGGUAGCUCACUCUACGUUCUCAGACACACAUUACAGGAAUACCUCGAUUAAUGCAGCUACAUUCAGUGUUGACCCCGCUAUAGUACGGUUAGUAAUUUGAAGAAUAAAUUUCAAUUAGUGUGGAUUGAUUCACUAUUAUGCGGG
RNAcentral lists this long non-coding RNA (1065 nucleotides) under Androctonus crassicauda. The record is from RNAcentral. Lineage: Eukaryota; Metazoa; Arthropoda; Arachnida; Scorpiones; Buthidae.